UCGGGAAUAUUGGACAAUGGGCGAAAGCCUGAUCCAGCAACGCCGCGUGCGGGACGAAGGCCCUCGGGUCGUAAACCGCUGUCAGGAGGGAGGAACGGUGCGUGGUUAAGAGCUGCGUACUUUGACAGUACCUCCAGAGGAAGCCCCGGCUAACUCCGUGCCAGCAGCCGCGGUAAUACGGAGGGGGCGAGCGUUGUCCGGAAUUAUUGGGCGUAAAGAGCUCGUAGGCGGUCCGUUGCGUCUGCCGUGAAAACCCGGAGCUCAACUCCGGGCCUGCGGUGGAUACGGGCGGACUAGAGUCCGGUAGGGGAGACUGGAAUUCCUGGUGUAGCGGUGGAAUGCGCAGAUAUCAGGAGGAACACCGGUGGCGAAGGCGGGUCUCUGGGCCGGAACUGACGCUGAGGAGCGAAAGCGUGGGGAGCGAACAGGAUUAGAUACCCUGGUAGUCCACGCCGUAAACGAUGUCAACUAGCCGUUGGGAGGGUUGCCUCUUAGUGGCGCAGCUAACGCGAUAAGUUGACCGCCUGGGAGUACGGUCGCAAGAGUU
This 547-nucleotide ribosomal RNA is filed under the name uncultured bacterium. Its description in RNAcentral is "bacterial SSU rRNA". It matches the Rfam family "Bacterial small subunit ribosomal RNA", at positions 355 to 896 of the family's 1533-position model. The record is from RNAcentral.